RNAcentral lists this ribosomal RNA (519 nucleotides) under uncultured bacterium. RNAcentral describes it as "bacterial SSU rRNA". It matches the Rfam family "Bacterial small subunit ribosomal RNA", at positions 791 to 1314 of the family's 1533-position model. The record is from RNAcentral.
UAGUCCACGCCGUAAACGAUGUCGACUAGCCGUUGGGCUCCUUGAGAGCUUUGUGGCGCAGUUAACGCGAUAAGUCGACCGCCUGGGGAGUACGGCCGCAAGGUUAAAACUCAAAUGAAUUGACGGGGGCCCGCACAAGCGGUGGAGCAUGUGGUUUAAUUCGAUGAUACGCGAGGAACCUUACCAGGGCUUAAAUGUAGAUUGACAGGUUUAGAGAUAGACUUUUCUUCGGACAAUUUACAAGGUGCUGCAUGGUUGUCGUCAGCUCGUGUCGUGAGAUGUUGGGUUAAGUCCCGCAACGAGCGCAACCCUUGUUUUAGUUGCCAUCAUUUAGUUGGGCACUUUAAAAAGACUGCCGGUGACAAACCGGAGGAAGGUGAGGAUGACGUCAAGUCAGCAUGCCCCUUAUGUUCUGGGCUACACACGUGCUACAAUGGUUAGGACAAAGAGUCGCCAACUUGCAAAAGUGAGCUAAUCUCGUAAACCUAAUCUCAGUUUCGGAUCGCGGGCUGCAACUCG